CUUGGUGUCAAUAGCGGAGGAGUAACACCCGAUUCCAUCCCGAACUCGACGGUAAAGCCCUCCAGCGCCGAUGGUACUGCACCCGGUUGGUGUGGGAGAGUAGGUCGAUGCCAAGC
This 116-nucleotide ribosomal RNA is filed under the name Myxococcales bacterium. Lineage: Bacteria; Pseudomonadati; Myxococcota; Myxococcia; Myxococcales. The record is from RNAcentral.